AGUGAACGCUGGCGGUAGGCCUAACACAUGCAAGUCGAACGGCAGCACAGUAAGAGCUUGCUCUUACGGUUGGCGAGUGGCGGACGGGUGAGGAAUACAUCGGAAUCUACUUUUUCGUGGGUGAUAACGUAGGGAAACUUACGCUAAUACCGCAUACUACCUACGGGUGAAAUCAGGGGAUCUUCGGACCUUUCGCGAUUGAAUGAGCCGAUUUCGGAUUAGCUAGUUGGCGGGGUAAAGGCCCACCAAGGCGACGAUCCGUAGCUGGUCUGAGAGGAUGAUCAGCCACACUGGAACUGAGACACGGUCCAGACUCCUACGGGAGGCAGCAGUGGGGAAUAUUGGACAAUGGGCGAAAGCCUGAUCCAGCCAUACCGCGUGGGUGAAGAAGGCCUUCGGGUUGUAAAGCCCUUUUGUUGGGAAAGAAAAGCAGCAGGUUAAUACCCCGCUGUUCUGACGGUACCCAAAGAAUAAGCACCGGCUAACUUCGUG
This 492-nucleotide ribosomal RNA is filed under the name uncultured bacterium. Its description in RNAcentral is "partial 16S ribosomal RNA". It matches the Rfam family "Bacterial small subunit ribosomal RNA", at positions 29 to 507 of the family's 1533-position model. The record is from RNAcentral.